This 439-nucleotide ribosomal RNA is filed under the name uncultured bacterium. RNAcentral describes it as "partial 16S ribosomal RNA". It matches the Rfam family "Bacterial small subunit ribosomal RNA", at positions 338 to 795 of the family's 1533-position model. The record is from RNAcentral.
CCUACGGGUGGCAGCAGUGGGGGAUAUUGCACAAUGGAGGAAACUCUGAUGCAGCGACGCCGCGUGAGGGAAGACGGUCUUCGGAUUGUAAACCUCUGUCUUUGGGGAAGAAAAUGACGGUACCCAAAGAGGAAGCUCCGGCUAACUACGUGCCAGCAGCCGCGGUAAUACGUAGGGAGCGAGCGUUGUCCGGAAUUACUGGGUGUAAAGGGAGCGUAGGCGGGCGAGAAAGUUGAAUGUUAAAUCUACCGGCUUAACUGGUAGCUGCGUUCACAACUUCUUGUCUUGAGUGAAGUAGAGGCAGGCGGAAUUCCUAGUGUAGCGGUGAAAUGCUUAGAUAUCACGAAGAACUCCGAUUGCGAAGGCAGCCUGCUGGACUGUAACUGACGCUGAUGCUCGAAAGUGUGGGUAUCAAACAGGAUUAGAUACCCUUGUAGUC